GAGAAGGGGAAUGAAGAAACAUCAACAUGAAGCUAACUUCAUGUUUGACUGACAGCAUUGAGGAGGAAUUGAAGAAGACCUUCCCAAAUGAAGGAGAAAGAGAACCAUUCAACGGGGUCAUCAAUACAUUUCCACUUGGCACAGAGGAGGAGAUGAGGAAGAAGGAGUGCGGAAAUGUCAAACUGCAGCUGACAUUUCUCAAGAGGAAGAAAAGAUGAAAACAAACCUCAAGAAACUCCUCCGUGAGCGUAAGAGAAGGAUCUCCAGCAGCCUGACAACAACAAUGGAGGAGACCAUGAAAGAAUGCUCUGACAGGAAGACAGAAGAUCACUACAGACAUAGAAAUACACCUCUACACAUUUUGAUGUCAAC
This is a long non-coding RNA of Trematomus bernacchii (emerald rockcod), 372 nucleotides long. RefSeq lists it as uncharacterized. NCBI's taxonomy places the organism in Eukaryota, Metazoa, Chordata, Actinopteri, Perciformes, Nototheniidae. The record is from RefSeq and is a predicted model, not a curated record. The transcript has 3 exons.